RNAcentral lists this ribosomal RNA (1459 nucleotides) under Staphylococcus aureus. RNAcentral describes it as "partial 23S ribosomal RNA". It matches the Rfam family "Bacterial large subunit ribosomal RNA", at positions 1466 to 2925 of the family's 2925-position model. Lineage: Bacteria; Bacillati; Bacillota; Bacilli; Caryophanales; Staphylococcaceae. The record is from RNAcentral.
GGGGGGACGCAGUAGGAUAGGCGAAGCGUGCGAUUGGAUUGCACGUCUAAGCAGUAAGGCUGAGUAUUAGGCAAAUCCGGUACUCGUUAAGGCUGAGCUGUGAUGGGGAGAAGACAUUGAGUCUUCGAGUCGUUGAUUUCACACUGCCGAGAAAAGCCUCUAGAUAGAAAAUAGGUGCCCGUACCGCAAACCGACACAGGUAGUCAAGAUGAGAAUUCUAAGGUGAGCGAGCGAACUCUCGUUAAGGAACUCGGCAAAAUGACCCCGUAACUUCGGGAGAAGGGGUGCUCUUUAGGGUUAACGCCCAGAAGAGCCGCAGUGAAUAGGCCCAAGCGACUGUUUAUCAAAAACACAGGUCUCUGCUAAACCGUAAGGUGAUGUAUAGGGGCUGACGCCUGCCCGGUGCUGGAAGGUUAAGAGGAGUGGUUAGCUUCUGCGAAGCUACGAAUCGAAGCCCCAGUAAACGGCGGCCGUAACUAUAACGGUCCUAAGGUAGCGAAAUUCCUUGUCGGGUAAGUUCCGACCCGCACGAAAGGCGUAACGAUUUGGGCACUGUCUCAACGAGAGACUCGGUGAAAUCAUAGUACCUGUGAAGAUGCAGGUUACCCGCGACAGGACGGAAAGACCCCGUGGAGCUUUACUGUAGCCUGAUAUUGAAAUUCGGCACAGCUUGUACAGGAUAGGUAGGAGCCUUUGAAACGUGAGCGCUAGCUUACGUGGAGGCGCUGGUGGGAUACUACCCUAGCUGUGUUGGCUUUCUAACCCGCACCACUUAUCGUGGUGGGAGACAGUGUCAGGCGGGCAGUUUGACUGGGGCGGUCGCCUCCUAAAAGGUAACGGAGGCGCUCAAAGGUUCCCUCAGAAUGGUUGGAAAUCAUUCAUAGAGUGUAAAGGCAUAAGGGAGCUUGACUGCGAGACCUACAAGUCGAGCAGGGUCGAAAGACGGACUUAGUGAUCCGGUGGUUCCGCAUGGAAGGGCCAUCGCUCAACGGAUAAAAGCUACCCCGGGGAUAACAGGCUUAUCUCCCCCAAGAGUUCACAUCGACGGGGAGGUUUGGCACCUCGAUGUCGGCUCAUCGCAUCCUGGGGCUGUAGUCGGUCCCAAGGGUUGGGCUGUUCGCCCAUUAAAGCGGUACGCGAGCUGGGUUCAGAACGUCGUGAGACAGUUCGGUCCCUAUCCGUCGUGGGCGUAGGAAAUUUGAGAGGAGCUGUCCUUAGUACGAGAGGACCGGGAUGGACAUACCUCUGGUGUACCAGUUGUCGUGCCAACGGCAUAGCUGGGUAGCUAUGUGUGGACGGGAUAAGUGCUGAAAGCAUCUAAGCAUGAAGCCCCCCUCAAGAUGAGAUUUCCCAACUUCGGUUAUAAGAUCCCUCAAAGAUGAUGAGGUUAAUAGGUUCGAGGUGGAAGCAUGGUGACAUGUGGAGCUGACGAAUACUAAUCGAUCGAAGACUUAAUCAA